GGAUAGGAAGCGAUCAGUUGCACUCGGUUUCGACCCGACUCUAGGUKCCCCUAUCUU
Molecule: transfer RNA, 57 nt
Filed under: Granata lyrata
Lineage: Eukaryota; Metazoa; Mollusca; Gastropoda; Seguenziida; Chilodontidae
Description: tRNA-Arg
Source: RNAcentral